Molecule: small nuclear RNA, 188 nt
Organism: Pygocentrus nattereri (red-bellied piranha)
Lineage: Eukaryota; Metazoa; Chordata; Actinopteri; Characiformes; Serrasalmidae
Gene: U2
Rfam family: U2 spliceosomal RNA
About the family: U2 is a small nuclear RNA (snRNA) component of the spliceosome (involved in pre-mRNA splicing). Complementary binding between U2 snRNA (in an area lying towards the 5' end but 3' to hairpin I) and the branchpoint sequence (BPS) of the intron results the bulging out of an unpaired adenosine, on the BPS, which initiates a nucleophilic attack at the intronic 5' splice site, thus starting the first of two transesterification reactions that mediate splicing.
Source: Ensembl
AAAGGUGUGAAAUGGGAUUGGGCCCAAGUGUAGUAUCUGUUCUUAUCAGUUUAAUCUCUGAUAUGUGCUCUAUACGAGGACUGUAUAUUACAUUUACUUUUAGAACAGGGAGACGGAAGAGGAGCUUGCUCUGUCCGCUCCAUGGAUCGACCUGGUAUUGCAGUACCCCCAGGAAUGGUGCACCUCCU